Molecule: long non-coding RNA, 946 nt
Organism: Eriocheir sinensis (Chinese mitten crab)
Lineage: Eukaryota; Metazoa; Arthropoda; Malacostraca; Decapoda; Varunidae
Exons: 3
Source: RefSeq, a predicted model, not a curated record
GUAACACCGUAGCCAUUAGACCGUUUGGCGAUCCCUAACCUCAGACACGUGGUUGGAUGCGGUGUGCGAGCCUGUAUGACGCUUUUCUUGAUGUUUGUAAAGGGAUGAAAGGAAGACUGAGAAUGAGAGAGAUCGAAUGAGAGAAUGAGAAUACGAGAGAAUGAGGGAGAUAAUGGUAAUGUAAGUAAGGUUCUGGUAUUAUAAGAGGAGACUAAGACGAGUUGCUAAGAGUGUGUUAGAUUUUCAGAGUAAAUAGGGGUAAUGUUAAAUGGGGUUCUGGUAGCAUAAGAGAAAGAUAGAUUAAACUCGCAGCAAGGAGUGUUAGAUUUUCAGACUCUACUCUAUGUUAAGUAGGGUUCUGGUAGCAUAAGAGAAAGAAAUGUUAGACCUGUAGCAAGGAGUGUUAGAUUUUCAGAGUAGAGGUUAUGUUAAAUAGGGUUCUGGUAGCAUAAGAGAAAGAAAUGUUAGACCCGUAGCAAGGAGUGUUAGAUUUUCAGAGUAGAGGUCAUGUUAAAUAGGGUUCUGGUAGCAUAAGAGAAGACUCGUAGCAAUGAAUGUGUUAAGUGUUCAGAGUAAAGAAAGAUAGAGUAAAUAGAGUUAAGAGUUGAGUAAUUGAAAAAGUACUGGUUUACUAAUAGAAGAGAAGUGGAAAAUCUAAAUAAUGUAUGAUUCAGCGUUUCUCAUCUCACCAUAACUUACGAAAUAUUGUCAGCUCACUCACAUAUCCUAACCUCCCUCACUCCCUUCCCUCCCAAGAUGAAUGUGUGACCAUUGUUUCUCGUAUCGCCAUAACUUAGAAACAUUAUCAUCUCACUCAGAUAUCCUAACCUCCCUCACUCCCUUCCCUCCCAAGAUGAAUGUGUGACCAUGUUUCUCGUAUCACCAUAACUUAGAAACAUUAUCAUCUCACUCAGAUAUCCUAACCUCCCUCCAUCCCUCUCUCCCA